This is a non-coding RNA of Pelecanus crispus (Dalmatian pelican), 710 nucleotides long. NCBI's taxonomy places the organism in Eukaryota, Metazoa, Chordata, Aves, Pelecaniformes, Pelecanidae. The record is from Rfam.
ACCAAUGAAAAAACAAAGCAGGCCUUCCGUGUUACUAGAGAAAAUGCAGUUUAAAACAUAUAUUUCUGUGAGGAAUAAUAGAACAGUUAUGGUUUUAUGGUAUUUCAGGUUUUUUUUUUUUUUCAUCUCUGCUAUGUUUAAUAUCGUUAUCAAUGACUUGGAGGCAAUAUUUUUGAUGUCCAAGGGUCAUAGAUGAGACAUAGUUUAAUUAAAGUACUAUUAUCUAUCCAGAACGGGAAUGAAAUCUAGGAAGACUGGUGGGUUGCGUUAUAUAGAAAAUGGAUGGCGCUGGAGCAUCGGGCCCAUACCCGGCUGUCGCUGGCAGUGCGAGGCCCGUGGGGGCUAGGCCGCGAUGAGUAGGAGGGCCGCUGUGGUGCGCCUCGAAGCCUGGGGCGUGGGCCCGGGUGGAGCCGCCGCAGGUGCAGAUCUUGGUGGUAGUAACAGGGGGCAGCCGCCGCAGGUGCAGAUCUUGGUGGUAGUAACAAAUAUUCAAACGAGAGCUUUGAAGGCCAAAGUGGAGCAGCAUUCCAUGUGAACAGUAGUUGAACAUGGGUCAGUCGGUCCUAAGUGAUAGGUGAGUGCCGUUCCGAAAGGGCGGGCAAUGGCCUCUGUUGCCCUCAGAUGAUCAAAAGGGAGUUGGGUUCAGAUCCCCAAAUCCUGAGUGGUUUUAUUUCUAUUUAAAAAAAAAAAAAAAAAAAAAAAAAAAAAAA